This 607-nucleotide long non-coding RNA is filed under the name Olea europaea subsp. europaea. Lineage: Eukaryota; Viridiplantae; Streptophyta; Magnoliopsida; Lamiales; Oleaceae. The record is from RNAcentral.
CUUCUAACAACUCUUCACGUAAGCAUACUAUACGACCCUUUUCCACGAACACAGAAAUGUUUAUGAAGAUAGGACCAAAAUCGACCUCGCUAUUAAAACAAGAUCCAGGAAAAAAAAAAAAAAAUGUAAACUCUUUCUUUCUCGCAGUUUAUGUUGAAUAGUCUUCAAAUUCAUUUAUGUAAAAAAAUUUAAAAAGAGAGUUCAUGUAUUCAACUGUGCAUUUAUGUUGAACUUGCCCCCUUGUUCGUGUGCAGGGUCAAAAGUACCUGAAAGAACUUGAAUGAUCAUAUCUUCAGCCGCAGAUGGUUUUAACAUACUAAUGCCUUCAAACAUUGAAACCGCACUUCCUGCAAAUGAAGAUUAAAAGAUUCAGCAGUAAAUGCCAUGGGAAUUUGCAUCUGCCAAUAUGUUUUUAACUUAGCACCAGUAUCCGAUCAAUGUGAAGGAUCAGUUUUUUCAGGAAUAUCUUUUUCCCCUGUCGUUGUAAAGUUAGACAAUUUUGUGAGUUGCUUAAAGUUAAGAGCAUAAUGGAAUGUGUUGUGACGAAAAUAUACUGCUGUUAUGUCUGAGAAUGGCAAAUUGAACUCUAGUUUUCAUUGGUUCUUCG